GACGAACGCUGGCGGCGUGCUUAACACAUGCAAGUCGAACGGAAAGGCCCUGCUUUUGUGGGGUGCUCGAGUGGCGAACGGGUGAGUAACACGUGAGUAACCUGCCCUUGACUUUGGGAUAACUUCAGGAAACUGGGGCUAAUACCGGAUAGGAGCUCCUGCUGCAUGGGGGGGGUUGGAAAGUUUCGGCGGUUGGGGAUGGACUCGCGGCUUAUCAGCUUGUGGGUGGGGUAGUGGCUUACCAAGGCUUUGACGGGUAGCCGGCCUGAGGGGGUGACCGGCCACAUUGGGACGGAGUUACGGCCCGGACUCCUACGGGAGGCAGCAGUGGGGAUUAUUGCACAAUGGGCGGAGGCCGGAUGCAGCAACGCCGCGUGCGGGAUGACGGCCUUCGGGUUGUAAACCGCUUUCGCCUGUGACGAAGCGUGGGUGACGGUAAUGGGUAAAGAAGCACCGGCUAACUACGU
Molecule: ribosomal RNA, 467 nt
Filed under: uncultured bacterium
Lineage: Bacteria
Description: partial 16S ribosomal RNA
Rfam family: Bacterial small subunit ribosomal RNA
Source: RNAcentral